Long non-coding RNA from Hippocampus comes (tiger tail seahorse), 243 nucleotides. RefSeq lists it as uncharacterized. The transcript has 3 exons. The record is from RefSeq and is a predicted model, not a curated record. Lineage: Eukaryota; Metazoa; Chordata; Actinopteri; Syngnathiformes; Syngnathidae.
GGCAGGUGCCCAGGCUGUGUAUGACGUCCUCAGCCAGGUCAGAGUGGUCAGAGUCCCAUACCAACCCAAUGGAGACGAUCUCCGUUGUUACGGUGAGCGAACAAAAAGCACUCCAUCCCUCAUUGAAGCGGGCCAACCAGGCGUUCUCUCAGUGAUCGUUUUCAAGGGACGUGGUCGAGAUGUAAUGAACCAUCUGAAUGAAGGGCAACGGGUCCGACGUGGCGCCGCAGCUGUUACACACGC